GCCGGGCGUGGUGGCGGGCGCCUGUAAUCCCAGCUACUCGGGAGGCUGAGGCAGGAGAAUUGCUUGAGUCCAGGAGACGGAGGUUGCAGUGAGUCAAGCUCGUGCCACUGCACUCCAGCCUGACCAACAGAACGAUACUCUGUCUCAA
Molecule: non-coding RNA, 148 nt
Filed under: Gorilla gorilla gorilla (western lowland gorilla)
Lineage: Eukaryota; Metazoa; Chordata; Mammalia; Primates; Hominidae
Source: Rfam by way of RNAcentral